Molecule: ribosomal RNA, 330 nt
Filed under: uncultured eukaryote
Lineage: Eukaryota
Description: partial 18S ribosomal RNA
Rfam family: Eukaryotic small subunit ribosomal RNA
Source: RNAcentral
CCCUUAGAUGUCCUGGGCCGCACGCGCGCUACACUGAUGCAUUCAACGAGUCUAAAACCUGGUCUGAUAGGGCUGGGUAAUCUUUUGAAUGUGCAUCGUGAUUGGGAUAGAUGAUUGCAAUUCUUCAUCUUCAACGAGGAAUGCCUAGUAAACGCAAGUCAUCAGCUUGCAUUGAUUACGUCCCUGCCCUUUGUACACACCGCCCGUCGCUCCUACCGAUUGAAUGUUCCGAUGAAUACCAUGGACUGAGAGUAUGAAUGGGUUCGCCUAUUUCUGCUUCUCGGGAAGUGGAGCAAAUCUUAACAUCUAGAGGAAGGAGAAGUCGUAACA